AUUUUUUUCUUCUCCCUCCCUCUCUCUUCAAAUUCUUCAAAUCUAAAACUUCAUCAAAACCAUAUCAUGCCGGAACAGUGCCAAUUUGUUUUUUUCUUCCCCUUAACUCAUUUUUUUAAAUUCAACAUCCGAUCGGUUCAAGGCUAACUCGGUUGGUUCACCGGUUUUGAGGAAUACCGGCCGAUUUUGGCCGAUUUUCGUCGGAUCUAUUACAUACCCGGUACAACAAUUGUUCUAUACUAAUAAGGGGUCCGAUUCACCAGUUUUCCGGUUGAACCGGCCGGUACGGUCCGGUUUUAUCAACAUUGAGGCCAAGAGUUGGCCACUAAUAUUGCAUGCAAUCAUUAUUGGGCAAUUUUAAUCAAUUUAUCAUGAACUGAACUGUACAUGAACGAAAUUGAGAAACAUUGCAUGAAUUGCUCGGCAUGUUGAGAAUUGUUUAGCGCAACAUAAAUAAAGGGAAAUGGUUAGGUCAUAUUGAUGGUCUAACCUAUAAAGGACAAUAGAAAAUAAAAAAUGUAACAUAAGUCUAAAAGGAAACUAUUUAGAAAGGGCAAUAAUAAGUCAUAGACCUCUGACUUAAACCUACAGAUGGGGAAGCCAUGGAAGGAAAAUGCUUUUAAUGUGAGCAGACAGAACAUUGGAAAAUGAACUACCCAAUGUACUUUUGCUUUAGGUAUUAAUGUUAUAGAAGUUAAUUUAUCUGCUUCUAUAUCAUAUGUAUUGGAUAUUAGAUGUGGCUCUCAUAUUUGUGUUGAUGUGCAAGAUUUUAAAAGGAGUAGAACUUUGGCUAAAUAUGAAGUUGAUCUAUGGGUUGGGAUAGUAAAAAUUGGG
RNAcentral lists this long non-coding RNA (834 nucleotides) under Lupinus angustifolius (narrow-leaved blue lupine). RNAcentral describes it as "long non-coding RNA (LANG_LNC003651)". The record is from RNAcentral. Lineage: Eukaryota; Viridiplantae; Streptophyta; Magnoliopsida; Fabales; Fabaceae.